Molecule: transfer RNA, 72 nt
Filed under: Arthrobacter phage Mimi
Lineage: Duplodnaviria; Heunggongvirae; Uroviricota; Caudoviricetes
Also listed under: 4 other names
Description: tRNA-Gln
Rfam family: tRNA
About the family: Transfer RNA (tRNA) molecules are approximately 80 nucleotides in length. Their secondary structure includes four short double-helical elements and three loops (D, anti-codon, and T loops). Further hydrogen bonds mediate the characteristic L-shaped molecular structure. tRNAs have two regions of fundamental functional importance: the anti-codon, which is responsible for specific mRNA codon recognition, and the 3' end, to which the tRNAs corresponding amino acid is attached (by aminoacyl-tRNA synthetases). tRNAs cope with the degeneracy of the genetic code in two manners: having more than one tRNA (with a specific anti-codon) for a particular amino acid; and 'wobble' base-pairing, i.e. permitting non-standard base-pairing at the 3rd anti-codon position.
Source: RNAcentral
UGGUCUAUGGUGUAAUGGCAGCACAUGAGCCUUUGGAUCUCAUAGUCGAGGUUCGAACCCUCGUAGACCAGC